UACGUAGGGUGCGAGCGUUGUCCGGAAUUAUUGGGCGUAAAGGGCUCGUAGGCGGUUUGUCGCGUCGGGAGUGAAAUCCACUGGCUUAACUGGUGGCUUGCUUUCGAUACGGGCAGACUGGAGGUAUGCAGGGGAGAUCGGAAUUCCUGGUGUAGCGGUGAAAUGCGCAGAUAUCAGGAGGAACACCGGUGGCGAAGGCGGAUCUCUGGGCCUUGCCUGACGCUGAGGCGCGAAAGCUAGGGGAGCGAACAGG
Molecule: ribosomal RNA, 253 nt
Filed under: uncultured bacterium
Lineage: Bacteria
Description: partial 16S ribosomal RNA
Rfam family: Bacterial small subunit ribosomal RNA
Source: RNAcentral